AGUUUAGCGUAUUUGCUUACCGGAAAGAAGCCCCGUGACAUAAAUGGCACAGGUUGUCAUGAGGAACAGUCCCCGCGUCGACAUACUCGCUGCUCAGAGCGCCGGGCGCGCAGGACUUCGUGAAGGUGAUAUAAUCUAU
Maniola jurtina (meadow brown) is the source of this 139-nucleotide long non-coding RNA. RefSeq lists it as uncharacterized. The record is from RefSeq and is a predicted model, not a curated record. The transcript has 3 exons. Lineage: Eukaryota; Metazoa; Arthropoda; Insecta; Lepidoptera; Nymphalidae.